AGGCAGCGCUGCCUUCUCCAUCAUCCUGACCCCAGAGGACAAUUACCAGGAGGAGAAACUCCUCACCCUGCCCAGCCCCCACCACACACUCACCUGCUCACCUCAUGCCUGGGUCCAGGGUGGGUGAGGGUGAAGAACCCACCCAGUCAAGAUGAUCCCUUCUAUGGGGACCGCUGCUGGUGUCCUGCCCCAGAUCCUGGGCCCCAGCAGUUGGGAGAGUGGCCCCCAGCUGAGCCCUAUCAGACUGCUGCAGAGGAGGUGAAGAGGGGUUGAGAAGAGGCGCCCAUCCUGGAGUCUGGAGCUACUUGCCUUCACUCGCGUACACUCUUGACUGUUUUAGGAAAGAAGGACCUGGUGGUGGCCUUUGCA
This 369-nucleotide long non-coding RNA is filed under the name Lynx pardinus (Iberian lynx). The record is from RNAcentral. Lineage: Eukaryota; Metazoa; Chordata; Mammalia; Carnivora; Felidae.